CUUAAGUUUGGCCCCCCGAAACUAGACGAGCUACUCUAAAACAGCCCACAGAGCUAACCCAUCCCUGUUGCAAUAGGGUGGAAAGAUUUUAAAGUAGAGGCGACACACCUACCGAGCCUAGAAAUAGCUGGUUAUUUAAUAAACGGAUUUGAGUCCCCCUUUAAGCUUCCCCAGUCUAACUAAACCCCCCACAAGCUUAAAAGCCAUUCAAA
This 212-nucleotide ribosomal RNA is filed under the name Stumpffia tridactyla (Guibe's stump-toed frog). RNAcentral describes it as "partial large subunit ribosomal RNA". The stretch from base 15 to 131 matches the Rfam family "Bacterial large subunit ribosomal RNA", at positions 714 to 852 of the family's 2925-position model. Lineage: Eukaryota; Metazoa; Chordata; Amphibia; Anura; Microhylidae. The record is from RNAcentral.